Molecule: ribosomal RNA, 446 nt
Filed under: uncultured bacterium
Lineage: Bacteria
Description: partial 16S ribosomal RNA
Rfam family: Bacterial small subunit ribosomal RNA
Source: RNAcentral
CCUACGGGCGGCAGCAGUCGAGAAUCAUUCACAAUGGGGGAAACCCUGAUGGUGCGACGCCGCGUGGGGGAAUGAAGGUCUUCGGAUUGUAAACCCCUGUCAUGUGGGAGCAAAUUAAAAAGAUCGUACCACAAGAGGAAGAGACGGCUAACUCUGUGCCAGCAGCCGCGGUAAUACAGAGGUCUCAAGCGUUGUUCGGAAUCACUGGGCGUAAAGCGUGCGUAGGCUGUUUCGUAAGUCGUGUGUGAAAGGCGCGGGCUCAACCCGCGGACGGCACAUGAUCCUGCGAGACUAGAGUAAGGGAGGGGGAACCGGAAUUCUCGGUGUAGCAGUGAAAUGCGUAGAUAUCGAGAGGAACACUCGUGGCGAAGGCGGGUUCCUGGACAUUAACUGACGCUGAGGCACGAAGGCCAGGGGAGCGAAAGGGAUUAGAUACCCCAGUAGUC